GACGAACGCUGGCGGCGUGCUUAACACAUGCAAGUCGAACGGAAAGGCCCUGCUUUUGUGGGGUGCUCGAGUGGCGAACGGGUGAGUAACACGUGAGUAACCUGCCCUUGACUUUGGGAUAACUUCAGGAAACUGGGGCUAAUACCGGAUAGGAGCUCCUGCUGCAUGGUGGGGGUUGGAAAGUUUCGGCGGUUGGGGAUGGACUCGCGGCUUAUCAGCUUGUUGGUGGGGUAGUGGCUUACCAAGGCUUUGACGGGUAGCCGGCCUGAGAGGGUGACCGGCCACAUUGGGACUGAGAUAUGGCCCAGACUCCUACGGGAGGCAGCAGUGGGGAAUAUUGCACAAUGGGCGGAAGCCUGAUGCAGCAACGCCGCGUGCGGGAUGACAGCCUUCGGGUUGUAAACCGCUUUCGCCUGUGACGAAGCGUGAGUGACGGUAAUGGGUAAAGAAGCACCGGCUAACUACGUG
RNAcentral lists this ribosomal RNA (468 nucleotides) under uncultured bacterium. RNAcentral's name for it is "partial 16S ribosomal RNA". It matches the Rfam family "Bacterial small subunit ribosomal RNA", at positions 28 to 507 of the family's 1533-position model. The record is from RNAcentral.